GACGAACGCUGGCGGCGGGCUUAACACAUGCAAGUCGAACGGAAAGGGGCUUAGGGUUACUUGAGUGCUGAAGGGUUGAGUAAGACGGGGGUAAGCUGGGCUGCACUUCUGGAUAAGCCUGGGAAACUGGGUCAAAUAUAGAAAAGAACCACUCACGUCGCGGGGUGAGGGAGGAAGCUCUUGUGGCGUGGGGUGGUCGCGGGGGCUAUGAUCGUGUUGGUGGGGUGAUGGGGUACCAAGGCGACGACGGGUAGACGGCCUGGGAGGGUGACCGGCCACCCUGGGACUGCGAUACGGCCCAGACUCCUACGGGAGGCAGAAGUGGGGAAUCUGGCACAAUGGGCGCAAGCCUGUUGCGGCGACGCCGCGUGAGGGAUGUCGGCCUUCGGGUUAUGAACCGCUUUCAGUAGAGACGAAGCGUCAGUGACGGUACCUGUAGAAGAAGCACCGGCUAACUACGUG
RNAcentral lists this ribosomal RNA (462 nucleotides) under uncultured bacterium. RNAcentral's name for it is "partial 16S ribosomal RNA". It matches the Rfam family "Bacterial small subunit ribosomal RNA", at positions 28 to 507 of the family's 1533-position model. The record is from RNAcentral.